AUGUUUGAUGGAGUUGAGAGGAUGCUUCGGGGAGUUAGGCAUGUACCAGGGCUAAGGAGGAAUCUAAUUUCGUUUGGUGUUCUUCAUGAUGGUGGUAUGGAAUUCCGUUUUGAUCGGGAUAAGAAGACCAUGAAAAUCAUGGAAGAUGGGGUGACCGUGAUGAUAGGAGAGAGGACGACUUCACAUCUUUACAAGUUGCAAGAGAGCACUAUUGCAGUUGGAGCCAUGGAGAGUGGAGCUGCUGGAGUAGCAGUGGAGUCUCACGGUGGCGGUGGGUCUGACUAG
RNAcentral lists this ribosomal RNA (285 nucleotides) under Triticum aestivum (bread wheat). RNAcentral's name for it is "partial small subunit ribosomal RNA". Lineage: Eukaryota; Viridiplantae; Streptophyta; Magnoliopsida; Poales; Poaceae. The record is from RNAcentral.